RNAcentral lists this ribosomal RNA (439 nucleotides) under uncultured bacterium. RNAcentral's name for it is "partial 16S ribosomal RNA". It matches the Rfam family "Bacterial small subunit ribosomal RNA", at positions 339 to 795 of the family's 1533-position model. The record is from RNAcentral.
CUACGGGUCGCACCAGUAGGGAAUCUUAGACAAUGGGGGAAACCCUGAUCUAGCCAUGCCGCGUGAGUGAUGAAGGCCUUAGGGUUGUAAAGCUCUUUCGCUGGGGAAGAUAAUGACGGUACCCAGUAAAGAAACCCCGGCUAACUCCGUGCCAGCAGCCGCAGUAAUACGGAGGGGGUUAGCGUUGUUCGGAAUUACUGGGCGUAAAGCGCGCGUAGGCGGGCUAUUAAGUCAGGGGUGAAAUCCCGGGGCUCAACCCCGGAACUGCCUUUGAUACUGGUAGUCUUGAGUUCGAGAGAGGUGAGUGGAAUUCCGAGUGUAGAGGUGAAAUUCGUAGAUAUUCGGAGGAACAUCAGUGGCGAAGGCGACUCACUGGCUCGAUACUGACGCUGAGGUGCGAAAGUGUGGGGAGCAAACAGGAUUAGAUACCCGUGUAGUC